CUAAAGUGCUGGUGUCCCUUGUAAGUGUGCAGGUGGGAGUGGGUGUGGCUAAAUGCUGGUGUCCCUUGUAAGUGUGCAGGUGGGAUGGGUGUGGCUAAAUGCUGGUGUCCCUUGUAAGUGUGCAGGUGGGAGUGGGUGUGGCUAAAGUGCUGGUGUCCCUUGUAAGUGUGCAGGUGGGAGUGGGUGUGGCUAAAGUGCUGGUGUCCCUUGUAAGUGUGCAGGUGGGAGUGGGUGUGGCUAAAUGCUGGUGUCCCUUGUAAGUGUGCAGGUGGGAGUGGGUGUGGCUAAAGUGCUGGUGUCCCUUGUAAGUGUGCAGGUGGGAGUGGGAGUGGCUAAAUGCUGUUGUCC
Molecule: long non-coding RNA, 348 nt
Filed under: Sarcophilus harrisii (Tasmanian devil)
Lineage: Eukaryota; Metazoa; Chordata; Mammalia; Dasyuromorphia; Dasyuridae
Description: lncRNA (ENSSHAG00000027203.1)
Source: RNAcentral